This 73-nucleotide transfer RNA is filed under the name Streptomyces virginiae. RNAcentral's name for it is "tRNA-Leu". It matches the Rfam family "tRNA". From Rfam's summary of the family: Transfer RNA (tRNA) molecules are approximately 80 nucleotides in length. The record is from RNAcentral. Lineage: Bacteria; Bacillati; Actinomycetota; Actinomycetes; Kitasatosporales; Streptomycetaceae. RNAcentral also lists the same sequence under 21 other names.
GCCCCGGUAGCCCAGCGGUAGAGGCAAUGGAUUCAAAACCCAUUCAGCGUCGGUUCGAAUCCGACCCGGGGUA